CAGCUACAGUGGUAGAGCGGCUGACUGCAGAUCAGCAGGCUUCGGUUCAGAUCCGGGCGU
RNAcentral lists this transfer RNA (60 nucleotides) under Perkinsus olseni. Its description in RNAcentral is "tRNA-Cys". Lineage: Eukaryota; Perkinsozoa; Perkinsida; Perkinsidae. The record is from RNAcentral.